CCGAGUUUUCAACUCCCUAACCCUUCUGUGAACCUACCUAUUGUUGCUUCGGCGGACUCGCCCCAGCCCGGACGCGGACUGGACCAGCGGGCCGCCGGGGACCCCAAACUCUUAUAUCAUCAGCACCUUCUGAAUACGCCGUAAGGCAAACAAAUAAAUC
Molecule: small RNA, 160 nt
Filed under: Beauveria amorpha
Lineage: Eukaryota; Fungi; Ascomycota; Sordariomycetes; Hypocreales; Cordycipitaceae
Source: RNAcentral